GACAUUCUUAGAACCGAAGAGGAAGCUACAGCCUAGUCUUCAUUUGGAUGUGUGCUCACCUGCCCAGGAAAAGAAACUGGGGCAAUCCUUCUGUCAAUCAACAUUUGCUGUGAUCUCCAUGCUGAGCACAGAAUAUGAAAUGAUUCUACGAAGAGUGAAUAAUGAUGGCUAAUAUGUUAGCAUCAAAGUGAGUUUGUCUGUGUCUUCACUGUAUAUUUAGAUAAAUAAUCUCCAUACUUGAAGGACAAAAUAGAAAAAUGCAUAAACAGGUACUACUGUUGUAUUAUAUAAUCAUCACAUCCAAACUGUGAGCAUCUGAGAAAAUACUUUCAUAAAUAUUAUUCCAAUAGCUUUUUUAGAGUUUCAGAGUGGCUGGAAAUGAAUAAGUUUCUUUUUGUUGUUGCUGCUGUUUGCUGUUGUUGUUUUGUUUUGUUUUCACUUUAUCUCUUGGCAGGAACAAGCUUCAUCUGCUAAAUAUCUGGCUGGCCUGUGGACUUUUAAAGAUACAAUAGCCUUGUCAAGUGGGGAAAAAAAUAGUCACCAGCUUUAAGUAUUUCCAAUGAUAGAUCUAUUACAUUUGCAAAGAGAUAAUUCUUGCAUUGUGUUUCUUGCAAGAAAGCAAAUGACACAGCCCUAUGAGACCCAUGGACCUUCUUAUCUAUUGAGCUAAAGGAAUGGAUUGAAUAAAGACUUGGGUAACCGAAAUAAGACUUUACUGCUUUACGGAAGAAGAUCAGGUUUAAUAUUAUUUUUCUCUUUUCUCUGCCCCUUUAGCUUCCUUCACAAAGAUGACUCUCUGUGCAGUAGAAAUAGGAACCUUGUAUACCUAUGGUAAAAAUGACAAUCUCACUCCACCAUCCUGCCUGCAUAUGAACAACAGAUUUGUCAAUGUGUGACAGGUUGACAGCCCAGCUCCCAGCUGCUUGUCCACUGUUGUUAAAUCAGUACCUUGUCUAAGUGUUCAGCAAAAAGGCAGCCUGUUUCCUCCAUUCACAGAGGCUAGGGUGGUUGCCAGUUAAAAACAAAUAAUGGCUUUAGGCUGCACUGCCAUAAUGCAUUGAAAAGAUGCAAUCUAAACCCUUGUGUGCUCCUUAGGCAACACAUAAUUGUGCUGGAAGUUCAACCUCCUUUUGCAAAACAACAAAGACAAGUCUAAAUGGGAUCAGUGAAAGACAGCAGUACUGUGGUCUUUGGAAAUAUCAUCACACUUCUGGACAUAGAAGCAAAGUACGCUGCUAUACACUUAGUUGGACCUUUGAUUCUUCUAGCACAGUAUUGUUGGCUCUGGUUGGUAACACAUCUCCAGCAUUUCAGAUCAAAGUUGCUCCACAUAGCUCAAACCUGAGCUCUCUAACAUGUCAAACAGGAGGAAAACAUUGUUGACAUUUGUGCUCACAAGAAUUGGGAAAGGUUGAAUCUGCAAACAAAAUUUAAAAUGCAACGUGUUCUUCAAAAGG
Non-coding RNA from Thamnophis sirtalis, 1457 nucleotides. NCBI's taxonomy places the organism in Eukaryota, Metazoa, Chordata, Lepidosauria, Squamata, Natricidae. The record is from RefSeq and is a predicted model, not a curated record.